AUCUAGGUAGCUUAAAUUAAAGCACAUCUUUGAAGAAGAUAUAAUGAAGAAUUUCCCCAGAUA
This 63-nucleotide transfer RNA is filed under the name Metaphire riukiuensis. RNAcentral's name for it is "tRNA-Phe". Lineage: Eukaryota; Metazoa; Annelida; Clitellata; Crassiclitellata; Megascolecidae. The record is from RNAcentral.